RNAcentral lists this long non-coding RNA (208 nucleotides) under Hordeum vulgare. Its description in RNAcentral is "long non-coding RNA (HVUL_LNC020963)". Lineage: Eukaryota; Viridiplantae; Streptophyta; Magnoliopsida; Poales; Poaceae. The record is from RNAcentral.
AUUGAUAUUGUUAUUGUCGUUGUUGUUGUUGUCGUUCAUGUCGCUGUUUUCGUUGUUGUUGUUGUUGUUGUUAUUGCUUUUCUUGUCGUUAUUGUCGUUGUUCUUGUCAUUGUCGUUGUUGUCGUCAUUGUCGUUGUCGUCAUCGUCCUUGUUGUUGUUGUUGUUGUUGUUGUUGUUGUGGUUGUUCUUGUUGUUGUUUUUGUUGUUG